AUGAGGUUGAAGUAUUCACUUAGAUGCUUGCAGUUUCUUCUUCAUCAAGGAUUGACAUUUCGUGGGCAUGAUGAAAGUGAACAGUCUAGCAAUAGAGGAAACUUCCUUGAGCUAUUGAAGUGGCUUGCAGCAAAUAGUGAGGAGGUGAAUAAGUAUGUUUUGAAGAAUGCACCAGUACUUACUAGGAAGCAAAUUAUUGAUGAACUUGGUGAUGAGCACUAUGCCAUUCUAGCUGACGAGUCUAGUGAUGUAUCACAUAAAGAACAACUAGCUUUGUGCUUGCGUUUUGUUGAUAAAGUAGGAAGGCCAUCAACAUGGUUUGCUCGACCCCAAACAAAUGAUGAUCUCUUUAGAAGAGAAGUUUUUCUUGGAGUCAUUGAUCAAAUUAGUCAAGGGCUUGAAAAUCGGUUUGAUGAGAUCAAUAUGGAAUUGCUAUCUUGUAUGUCUUCUUUGAAUCCCGCCAACUCAUUUGCUACUUUUGAUGCACAAAAGGUACGAAGACUUGCUGAAUUUUAUCCCGAAGACUUUUCAAGUGCCGACUUGAUACACCUUGAACUACAACUUGAUAACUAUAUUGAUGACAUGAGAAAUGAUGAGAACUUCCAAGGCCUUGGGAAUCUUGUUGAUCUCUCGGUUAAGCUUGUUCAAACAGGGAGACACCUAGUUCAUCAUUUGGUGUACUUGCUUUUAAAAUUGGUAUUGAUUCUACCGGUGGCAACGACAAAUGUUGAGAGAGCAUUUUCUGCCAUGAGUAUAGUCAAGAGCAAGUUGAGAAAUAAGAUGGGUGAUAGUCUUUUGGAUGAUUGCCUAGUUACAUACAUUGAGAGGGAUGCUUUCUCUGAGGUGAAUGAAGAUGACAUAAUUGAUUCCUUCAUGGCAAUGCAAAAGCGUAGGCCAGAAACAUAG
Molecule: ribosomal RNA, 906 nt
Filed under: Triticum aestivum (bread wheat)
Lineage: Eukaryota; Viridiplantae; Streptophyta; Magnoliopsida; Poales; Poaceae
Description: partial small subunit ribosomal RNA
Source: RNAcentral